This 888-nucleotide ribosomal RNA is filed under the name Triticum aestivum (bread wheat). Its description in RNAcentral is "partial small subunit ribosomal RNA". Lineage: Eukaryota; Viridiplantae; Streptophyta; Magnoliopsida; Poales; Poaceae. The record is from RNAcentral.
AUGCCCUCUGGCGGUGGUGGGCGCGACCGCGACCGCGACGACGACGAUCAUAGAUACCAGCGGCGCACCUGGAAGGACACCCUCCUCAGCCUGGGGCGGGCAAAUGCUCCGGCACCCCCUGCCAAGGAUCAGCAGCGCAGCCGGACCCCGGUCUCUCGCCAUCGGCAGGGCGCGCCGCACGGGAGGCACAUGUGCAACGACAAGGCACUGCCCCAUGCCCCUGGCAAGAGCAAGGAACCAGCGCAGCGCACCGCUUCGACAUGCCCGUCACAGCAAAAGAGAGAGGAGCCUGCGCCGAGUAGGCGACGCCAUGACGGAGAAGGCCCAAGCAGCGGCGUCUCCCUCCUCGCCCCGCCUCGCCAGCUCGCCAAGGACACCGCACCAGCCCCUGCCAUGGACCCGGUGGCCGAGUUCUUCGAGGGCGCCCAAAGCAACCUGCCUCCACCUCCCUGCUUCGACGCCCAGGCACCGGCGAUCGAUCAGAUGAUCGCCGCCAAGCUGGCCAAGCCGCUCGCCUUCGACGCUGAUGAAGAGGGGGGCAACGGCGACUCCCUGGACAUGGGGCCUGCUCUCUUCCUAGCACGCCACACCCCCCAGGCGGCGGCCACACAUGCGGUGCAGUUAGGAGAAGUCACUCAGAAGGUCACAGAGAUGCAGCUUCAGGGCGAUACCGAUGAUGCAGAACCGCCCCUCUUCGCGCCCCUGCCCCAAGCGGUGGUCGGACGGCAUCCGGCCAGACACAAGACCCCCGCAAGACCAGGGUGGUGCCAAAGCCGGCUCGGCAGAGCCUCAGGCGGGCCAACAAUCCCUCGUCGGUGCCAGUCUCCCAGAGGGCGACGCUGCGUCUGGUGUACGGGCUUGGGAUCCUCGGCCCAAAAGAGAAGAUGA